RNAcentral lists this ribosomal RNA (277 nucleotides) under uncultured bacterium. RNAcentral's name for it is "partial 16S ribosomal RNA". It matches the Rfam family "Bacterial small subunit ribosomal RNA", at positions 28 to 310 of the family's 1533-position model. The record is from RNAcentral.
GACGAACGCUGGCGGCGUGCUUAACACAUGCAAGUCGAACGGUGAAGCCCUUCGGGGCUGAUCAGUGGCGAACGGGUGAGUAACACGUGGGUAACCUGCCCCGAACUCUGGGAUAACUCCGGGAAACCGGGGCUAAUACCGGAUACGAGCUGGAGCGGCAUCGCUCCGGCUGGAAAGUUUUUCGGUUCGGGAUGGACCCGCGGCCUAUCAGCUUGUUGGUGGGGUAAUGGCCUACCAAGGCUUUGACGGGUAGCCGGCCUGAGAGGGCGACCGGCCA